AUUGAACGCUGGCGGCAGGCCUAACACAUGCAAGUCGAGCGGAUGAAGGGAGCUUGCUCCUGGAUUCAGCGGCGGACGGGUGAGUAAUGCCUAGGAAUCUGCCUGGUAGUGGGGGAUAACGUCCGGAAACGGGCGCUAAUACCGCAUACGUCCUAAGGGAGAAAGUGGGGGAUCUUCGGACCUCACGCUAUCAGAUGAGCCUAGGUCGGAUUAGCUAGUUGGUGGGGUAAAGGCCUACCAAGGCGACGAUCCGUAACUGGUCUGAGAGGAUGAUCAGUCACACUGGAACUGAGACACGGUCCAGACUCCUACGGGAGGCAGCAGUGGGGAAUAUUGGACAAUGGGCGAAAGCCUGAUCCAGCCAUGCCGCGUGUGUGAAGAAGGUCUUCGGAUUGUAAAGCACUUUAAGUUGGGAGGAAGAGCAGUAAGUUAAUACCUUGCUGUUUUGACGUUACCAACAGAAUAAGCACCGGCUAACUUCGUG
This 484-nucleotide ribosomal RNA is filed under the name uncultured bacterium. Its description in RNAcentral is "partial 16S ribosomal RNA". It matches the Rfam family "Bacterial small subunit ribosomal RNA", at positions 30 to 507 of the family's 1533-position model. The record is from RNAcentral.